This is a long non-coding RNA of Passer domesticus (house sparrow), 1389 nucleotides long. RefSeq lists it as uncharacterized. Lineage: Eukaryota; Metazoa; Chordata; Aves; Passeriformes; Passeridae. The transcript has 2 exons. The record is from RefSeq and is a predicted model, not a curated record.
CCCGUGGCUUUUGGCUGCCCAGUUUGGAUGCAACCUGUCAGCCCAAGGCUGGAGGGACUGGCUGCCCAAAAUCCACUGGGUUGUUUUUGCUGUUGUUCCUGUUUCUCCCAGUUUCAGCCUGAAAAGCCCCCAGUGCUGGGGACACAGCUCUGUUUGAGCCUGUCCCUGUGAGUAUUUAUCCCACAAAUACCAGCCCUAGCCUGUGCUCUCUGCUGGGACACAGGCGGCCUGUGCCAGCAGCUGAGGAGGAAAAUAUCAGGAGGAAGCCAGUCUUUGGGUUUUCCUUGACUAUUUCCUACUCUUUUCAUCUCCCAUGCCUCUGGUAAUAAAGGUGGUUGUUCCUUUUGCCCCCCUCAUGCUGCCUUUAGGCGUUCCCUACUCCACAUCCCCCUCACACAUGAGCUCUGCCAGGGGCAAUUCCCUAUAAAUUGUUCCUGCCUUCUGUGGAGCAGGACCUUGGGUGGAAACUGGAGUUCUGGAGACUGAAGAAUGUUGACAAGAAGAAUGUCCAGAAUGCAAUAGCUGUCCUCCAGCCAUCUGCCAGCUCUUCAUGGCUUUGCAGAGGUGAGGGAAGGGUGUGUCAGGGCAGCUGUUCCCAGCACCAGGCUGCAACAGGGCCACAAGGAGCUCGGGGGAUUUGACAGGGACCAGCCCAGUGGUUCCCAACUUCCCAACCAUCUCUGAGUACCCCAUUCCCAAAAAGAGGUAAACACCCAUCAGAAAUUCGGGGUUCCUCUGAGGUCUCUAUUGUUUUGGAACCCUGGACUGGUCCAGUUCCAGCCCACAGGAUACCGUGAAAAUUCAGAGUGAAGUCUCCAGAUUUGUGCUGGGCAGCGAGCAGCCUUGACAGGCAUUAAAUGAAAAUGGGUCAAGUACACCACAUCUUUAUGCAUUCUGAAAUUAUGUUGUUGUUUUUUUUUUUUUUUUUCCCACAAAUACAUUUUGAUAUGUGAAAGCAUUUUGUGCUAUUUAUUGCAAUUAUCUCUGAGGAUACAGUUGGUUCUGCUGAAGAUAAGGAGGACCCUGGAAUUCCAGGAACAGCAUUACCAGUGAGAUAAGCAUCAGCCACAAGUGCACAGUGGGUUUCCCUUCCAGACAGAGGAUAUCAGACCCCCAGUCAGAGUGAAAAUCUCCAGCCCUACACAAGCACGACCAGGAAUGUUUUUUCCAGUUGAAGACCUGGCCUGGGAUCAGUGUGACAAAACAGUGAAUUUUGUGCACGAGCUACAUGUCUGCUGAGGGUGUUUUAAAUGCAAGAACAACGCAGCACACUUAUUUUCUGCUUGAAAAGUCUGCACAUAUUGCAGAGGUUUUGGUCAAAGAGCUGCAUUUACUCUCUCACACAUUUUAAUUCAGGCCAUUUGAGAAUAAAAUAUGUACUGAAACGCA